ACGAAUGACUCUCGGCAACGGAUAUCUUGGCUCCUGCCASGAUGAAGAACGUAGCGAAAUGCGAUACUUGGUGUGAAUUGCAGAAUCCCGUGAAUCAUCGAGUUUUUGAACGCAAUUUGCGCCUGAGGCCAUUCGGCKAAAGGCACGUCUGUGGUGGGCCUCACCCUGGAGCGUC
Molecule: ribosomal RNA, 175 nt
Filed under: Euryale ferox
Lineage: Eukaryota; Viridiplantae; Streptophyta; Magnoliopsida; Nymphaeales; Nymphaeaceae
Description: 5.8S ribosomal RNA
Rfam family: 5.8S ribosomal RNA (bases 7-163)
About the family: 5.8S ribosomal RNA (5.8S rRNA) is a component of the large subunit of the eukaryotic ribosome.
Source: RNAcentral